GAAAUGCGAUAAGUAAUGUGAAUUGCAGAAUUCAGUGAAUCAUCGAAUCUUUGAACGCACCUUGCGCUCCUUGGUAUUCCUUGGAGCAUGCCUGUUUGAGUAUCAUGAAAUCUUCAAAGUAAAUCUUUUGUUAACUCAAUUGGUUUCUACUUUGGUAUUGGAGGUCUUUGCAGCUUCACACCUGCUCCUCUUUGUUCAUUAGCUGGAUCUCAGUGUUAUGCUUGGUUCCACUCGGCGUGAUAAGUUAUCUAUCGCUGAGGACACUGUAAAAGGUGGCCAAGGUAAAUGCAGAUGAACCGCUUCUAAUAGUCCAUUGACUUGGACAAUACUUUUAUGAUCUGAUCUAGAAUCAGGUAGGACUACCCGCUGAACUUAAGC
This 378-nucleotide unclassified non-coding RNA is filed under the name plant metagenome. RNAcentral describes it as "partial contains 5.8S ribosomal RNA, internal transcribed spacer 2, and large subunit ribosomal RNA". The stretch from base 1 to 105 matches the Rfam family "5.8S ribosomal RNA", at positions 50 to 154 of the family's 154-position model. The record is from RNAcentral.